This 1551-nucleotide long non-coding RNA is filed under the name Homo sapiens (human). Its description in RNAcentral is "HSALNT0376020". Lineage: Eukaryota; Metazoa; Chordata; Mammalia; Primates; Hominidae. The record is from RNAcentral.
AAAGGCUGUUUCAUCCCACAUGGGCACGAAACAUACCACAUUUUACGGAGGAUGUAGCCCCAGAGAAGAGGGAGGUGGAGAAGCAUAAAUGAAAGGCACCUUUUCCUUCCUCUAGAAGGUAAAUAAUUAUAAAAUAUGCACAGAGAAUUUCUGACCUUGUGACGUUUGGGAGUGAGGAGAUCCCAUACAGAGGCAUCCAGGUAUUUCCAGAGAUCCUGUGGCAGGUGAGGUCUGCCCUCGCUGGAGCCAACUCGUCUAUAAUAUCUUCCUAACAGCAGAUACCAUAGAGGAGAGGUCGAGGUCCUUCCACUGAAGCACCAAGUGGGGUAUAUAAAGCCACACUGCCCAUGAGGGCUGUGGUGUGAGUCUGCUAGCCGUGAGAGACAGAUGCAUUACAAAGGGAUGGAUUUAGUGCACUCUUUCCUCUCUUACUCACAGCCUGAACAGCCAGUGAACAAUGAAACAAAACUUCUUCCCAAGCCUCAAUGAGGAUUGUGCCAUAGUUUGAAGAUGAAGUCUUGCUCUGUUGCCCAGUCUGGAGUGCAGUGGUACGAUCAUAACUCACUGAAGUCUCAAACUUCUGGGCUCAACCAAUCCUCCCGCUUAACCUCCCAAGUAGCUGGGACGACAGGUGCAUGCCACUACGCAUUGCUAUUAAAAAAAAAAUUGUAGAGAUGGGGUCUUACUAUGUUGCCCAGGCUAGUCUUGAACUCCUGGCCUCAAGCAAUUUUUCCAUCUUGGCCUCUGAAACGCUGGGAUUACAGGUGUGAGACACCACAAGGCCUGAUUUUUUUUUUUUUUUUUUUUUUUUUUACUGGAAAUUGGAUUACAAUCCUUCUGAGUACAAUAUAAAAUACAUUGCUUGUUGUUGAAUAAUUUUAGGAAUGGAGUAGCAUCAUAUGGAGCUUCCAACAUUCUUAUUUUGAUUUUGUAGUUUUUUAAUAAACACAGAAGACUUAACUGUUUUGAAUGAAUUUACCCAUUGCAAGCAAUUAACAUCCAAUCACUUUACUUAAAAUAAUCAAACCAUUUGUGUAUAUAUAUACAGGAUAUAUUUCUACUGUUUACUGUCUCAAAGCAUUUUAACAAGCUAUUGUGCUGGCAGAGUUAAUUAGAUCUGAAAACUGGUAUAAUAAAAACAAUAAAAAACUGUAAGAAUGCAUUAAAAUAGAACACCAAAAUAAUAGAACCUAAGGUUUCUAAAGUUGUAUUUGACAAGUCAAAUGUUCCUUAAUAACUGGAUGCAUCAGAAUACAUUGUUCAUUAUAAUAUUAAAGGCAUGUAAUGAAAUGAAAAUUGAAGCAAUAGAGAAUUCAGUAUGCACAAUUAUUUUAAAUUUAAAAUCUUACCCAUAAUGAACAUAGCUAAAAACAUAAAAGACAAAUGAUAGAGAAAUUAAAAGCAAUUAUCAAAGGAAUUCUCAGCAGAAAUUUCUGAUUUAAAUUAAAGCCUAUGAUUAAAAAUCUCCUGCCUCUUUGUCCCUCUCGCCUCUUCCCACAAUUCCUUACUGCCUCAGCACCUUGUAACUUACAUUUCUUUUCUUUAAAGACA